Clupea harengus (Atlantic herring) is the source of this 931-nucleotide long non-coding RNA. Lineage: Eukaryota; Metazoa; Chordata; Actinopteri; Clupeiformes; Clupeidae. The record is from Ensembl.
UGGAGACCCAAGAUGGAGUGGUGUUUUGCCCGUUUUGUGGCAAACAUAUGAGCCGAUUAACGUGAUUUAGUUUUUCGUGUGGUCAGUCUGUAGAGUUUUUAAAUGGCGCAGACCAGACGGAAGGACCAAGCGCACAGGGGGCAUCUCAACAGCCGGAUAAUGCUAAACAAACAGAAUAACCUUGCCCAUCAUAUAAACAGUUCCUGGAGUACAGAGGCUCAAAGUCCAAAGAGCGUCAGUCUUUUAACUAUGGGCCGAGAGGAAAACAUCGGGCUAAAGAACGAAAACACGUCCAGUGGAUGAUACCUCAGACUCUGAUUCUGAAAUUGUCAUCGCAUCAAGGAGCACAGCUGAAUUAAAUCGAGCUGACACAGUGAGAUGUAUCGGGACAUUCAGCAACAAUUCGGCCUGGUCAGAUAGUAAUAUCUGAUGCUGAGGAUAUGGAUCCAUCUGAAACAAAGAGACUUGCUAAAGUAAAUACACGGACCUGUAUGCACCAGGUGUUGAGGAAGAGGAUGAGGAGCUGGUUGCAGUCAAUGUGGAGAAUUUCCAACACACAGCAGUGGAGGAGAUGGACAUUACACUACCUGACAUUGUAGCAAACCUGUCGCUUCCUAUUGAUCACAAAAGAGUCAGCAGUUUCAACAUCUCAAGGGCUGAUGUUUGGGAUGGAGCUGUCAGAGGUUUCAAGUGUAAAACAUAUUCUGAAACCUGUGACAUGCUGGUCUGAUUUACUGAUGAUGCUGGUGUUUUUGAGGAGGGAAUUGACACAGGUAGUCCAAGACGAGACUUUUUAACUUUGCUAAUGAAACACCUGAAAGACCGGCCCAUUUUUGAUGGACCAGAAGGACAUCGGUUCUUGGUCUACAAUGCAAAUGGUAUGCAUAGGGUUAGAUGUGUGCUAUACUAAUGGUUGGUUAAUGAUCAUUAA